UGGGGAAUAUUGGACAAUGGGCGAAAGCCUGAUCCAGCCAUGCCGCGUGUGUGAAGAAGGUCUUCGGAUUGUAAAGCACUUUAAGUUGGGAGGAAGGGCAGUAAGCGAGUACCUUGCUGUUUUGACGUUACCGACAGAAUAAGCACCGGCUAACUCUGUGCCAGCAGCCGCGGUAAUACAGAGGGUGCAAGCGUUAAUCGGAUUUACUGGGCGUAAAGCGUGCGUAGGCGGCUAAUUGAGUCGGAUGUGAAAUCCCCGAGCUUAACUUGGGAAUUGCAUUCGAUACUGGUUAGCUAGAGUGUGGGAGAGGAUGGUAGAAUUCCAGGUGUAGCGGUGAAAUGCGUAGAGAUCUGGAGGAAUACCGAUGGCGAAGGCAGCCAUCUGGCCUAACACUGACGCUGAGGUACGAAAGCAUGGGGAGCAAACAGG
RNAcentral lists this ribosomal RNA (429 nucleotides) under Pseudomonadota bacterium. Its description in RNAcentral is "Proteobacteria bacterium partial 16S ribosomal RNA". It matches the Rfam family "Bacterial small subunit ribosomal RNA", at positions 355 to 776 of the family's 1533-position model. Lineage: Bacteria; Pseudomonadati; Pseudomonadota. The record is from RNAcentral.